Molecule: ribosomal RNA, 327 nt
Filed under: uncultured bacterium
Lineage: Bacteria
Description: bacterial SSU rRNA
Rfam family: Bacterial small subunit ribosomal RNA
Source: RNAcentral
UACGGAGGAAAGAGGGGGCUUCGGCUCUCGCUAUUGGAUGGGCCUGCGUGAGAUUAGCUAGUUGGUGAGGUAAUGGCUCACCAAGGCGACGAUCUCUAGCUGGUCUGAGAGGAUGAUCAGCCACACUGGGACUGAGACACGGCCCAGACUCCUACGGGAGGCAGCAGUGGGGAAUAUUGCACAAUGGGCGCAAGCCUGAUGCAGCCAUGCCGCGUGUGUGAAGAAGGCUUUCGGGUUGUAAAGCACUUUCAGUGGGGAGGAAGGCCUCGUAGUUAAUAGCUGCGAGGAUUGACGUUACCCACAGAAGAAGCACCGGCUAACUCCGUG